UACGAAGGGGGCUAGCGUUGCUCGGAAUCACUGGGCGUAAAGCGCACGUAGGCGGCUUGUUAAGUCAGGGGUGAAAUCCUGGAGCUCAACUCCAGAACUGCCUUUGAUACUGGCGAGCUUGAGUUCGGGAGAGGUGAGUGGAACUGCGAGAGUAGAGGUGAAAUUCGUAGAUAUUCGCAAGAACACCAGUGGCGAAGGCGGCUCACUGGCCCGAUACUGACGCUGAGGUGCGAAAGCGUGGGGAGCAAACAGG
RNAcentral lists this ribosomal RNA (253 nucleotides) under uncultured bacterium. Its description in RNAcentral is "partial 16S ribosomal RNA". It matches the Rfam family "Bacterial small subunit ribosomal RNA", at positions 524 to 776 of the family's 1533-position model. The record is from RNAcentral.